GAUGAACGCUGGCGGUAUGCUUAACACAUGCAAGUCGAACGAAAGUCUUCGGAUUUUAGUGGCGGACGGGUGAGUAACGCGUGAGGAUCUGCCUAUAGGUUGGGGACAACAGAUGGAAACGUCUGCUAAUACCCAAUGUGCCGAGAGGUGAAAGCUUUAGUGCCUGUAGAUGAGCUCGCGUCCGAUUAGCUAGUUGGUAAGGUAAAGGCUUACCAAGGCGACGAUCGGUAGCUGGUCUGAGAGGAUGAUCAGCCACACUGGGACUGAGACACGGCCCAGACUCCUACGGGAGGCAGCAGUGGGGAAUUUUCCGCAAUGGGCGAAAGCCUGACGGAGCAAUACCGCGUGCGGGACGAAGGCCUUUGGGUCGUAAACCGCUUUUGUUAGGGAAGAACACAAUGACGGUACCUAACGAAUCAGCAUCGGCUAACUCCGUGCCAGCAGCCGCGGUAAUACGGGGGAUGCAAGCGUUAUCCGGAAUUAUUGGGCGUAAAGCGUCCGCAGGUGGUUUAUCAAGUCUGCUGUCAAAUCGUAGGGCUUAACCCUAUAAAGGCAGUGGAAACUGAGAGACUAGAGUACGGUAGGGGUAGCGGGAAUUCCCAGUGUAGCGGUGAAAUGCGUAGAUAUUGGGAAGAACACCAGCGGCGAAGGCGCGCUGCUGGGCCGAAACUGACACUCAUGGACGAAAGCUAGGGGAGCGAAAGGGAUUAGAUACCCCUGUAGUCCUAGCUGUAAACGAUGACAACUAGGUGUUGCGCG
This 759-nucleotide ribosomal RNA is filed under the name uncultured cyanobacterium. RNAcentral describes it as "bacterial SSU rRNA". It matches the Rfam family "Bacterial small subunit ribosomal RNA", at positions 28 to 829 of the family's 1533-position model. Lineage: Bacteria; Bacillati; Cyanobacteriota. The record is from RNAcentral.